Molecule: long non-coding RNA, 892 nt
Filed under: Zea mays
Lineage: Eukaryota; Viridiplantae; Streptophyta; Magnoliopsida; Poales; Poaceae
Description: long non-coding RNA (ZMAY_LNC002723)
Source: RNAcentral
CGAACAUCACGCUGUUCUCGGCCAUGUAGAAGAAGGUCUCCGCCCACACCUUCUGCGCCACCUCGAAGGUCCUCUCGAUGCCGUGCUCGCCAUCCAGAAGGAUCUCGGGCUCCACGAUCGGCACCAGACCAUUUUCCUAGCAUUUCAUUUCAUUUCCACAGAUAUAUGAGUUUUUCUACCGCGCGCUGAGAAUUCCGGCGUUGAGAAUGCAUGGGUGAAGUGAAGGAUAGGUACCUGUGAGAUGGCGGCGUAGCGGGCGAGGCCCCAGGCAGCUUCCUUCACGGCUAGUUGAGAUGGACCGUUGGGGAUGCUGACAACAGUGCGCCUGUGAUGUGACAACACAAGUUCACGUCACAUUAAGCAAACACGCAUCAUGGGGAUCACCACACACCAGGUACACAAAGUAACUGCGCCGCCAAUGUUUCUCACCAUUUGGCGAAGCGGGCACCGGCCUGGUAGUAGGCUGCCUCACGUGAAGCAAGGCCAUCGAGACCUUGGCACCAUGACUCGUUGUUGGAGCCAGCGAGUGGCACAAGACCCUGAGAUUGAGAGCAGAACAUGAGAGGAAUAAUGCUAAGUACUGCUCCUGGUCUUGAAGGAGGGCGAGACUCCAACUAGCUCCGACAGAUCUAAUUAAGAACCUACGGCAAUUAACACACGCAUACGUACGUAGUACAUACCUUGUCGACCUUGAUACCAGGCACGAUUCCCUGCUCACUAAGCACGUCGACGAUCUUCUUGCCGUCGACGGUCGACUGGUAGAGGGUCUCCUCGAAGAGGAUGGCACCAGAGAUGUACUGUCCCAGGCCUGGAGCGCUGACGAGGAGGGUCCUGUAGGCCUGGCGGUUGGCCUCGGUGUUCUCGAGGCCGAUGGAGUCGAGCCUCUUCCCGC